UACAGAGGGUGCAAGCGUUAAUCGGAAUUACUGGGCGUAAAGCGUGCGCAGUCGGUUAUUUAAGUCGGAUGUGAAAUCCCCGGGCUCAACCUGGGAAUUGCAUUCGAUACUGGAUGGCUAGAGUUCGGCAGAGGGAAGUGGAAUUUCAGGUGUAGCGGUGAAAUGCGUAGAUAUCUGAAGGAACAUCAGUGGCGAAAGCGACUUCCUGGACCAGAACUGACGAUCAGGCACGAAGGCGUGGGGAGCAAA
RNAcentral lists this ribosomal RNA (249 nucleotides) under uncultured bacterium. RNAcentral describes it as "partial 16S ribosomal RNA". It matches the Rfam family "Bacterial small subunit ribosomal RNA", at positions 524 to 772 of the family's 1533-position model. The record is from RNAcentral.